RNAcentral lists this ribosomal RNA (253 nucleotides) under uncultured bacterium. RNAcentral describes it as "partial 16S ribosomal RNA". It matches the Rfam family "Bacterial small subunit ribosomal RNA", at positions 524 to 776 of the family's 1533-position model. The record is from RNAcentral.
GACGAACCGUGCGAACGUUGUUCGGAAUCACUGGGCUUAAAGGGCGCGUAGGCGGGCUGCCGCGUUCGGGGUGAAAUCCUCCCGCUCAACGGGAGAACGGCCUCGGAUACGGGCGGCCUGGAGGGGGGUAGGGGCAGGCGGAACGCUGGGUGGAGCGGUGAAAUGCGUUGAUAUCCAGCGGAACUCCGGUGGCGAAGGCGGCCUGCUGGAUCCUCACUGACGCUGAGGCGCGAAAGCCAGGGGAGCGAACGGG